Phyllostomus hastatus (greater spear-nosed bat) is the source of this 781-nucleotide long non-coding RNA. RefSeq lists it as uncharacterized. The transcript has 2 exons. NCBI's taxonomy places the organism in Eukaryota, Metazoa, Chordata, Mammalia, Chiroptera, Phyllostomidae. The record is from RefSeq and is a predicted model, not a curated record.
ACGGGGAGGCAGGGCCUGGGGGAGCCCAGCCCAGCUCCAGCGCCCCUGGUUCCCCGGCGUCCAUCCAGGGAGGCUGAAGGACCUGGGCCCUGGCCAGAGCAUGCUCUGAUCACGGACACAGAUUAGGCUGGGUUCAAGGAUGGGGUCAGUGUCUGACCAGGGGCCAGGGGGACACCUGGAUUUGUAGGGCUGGGGGCUCCCUUGUCUAAGCUUCGAGAGGAGGGGAUUGAAGGUUUAAACUCCAAUGUCGAGCAGGCGCCUGAAAUCCUGGGUCUUGGGGAAGAGGGCUUUGGGCAUGGAGUCCAUAGCAGGACUCCCUGGUAUGAGGUUGGAGGGGCACAGGAGCCUGGACUCCUGGGUCUGAGGAAGGAGGUGACUGGGGCCCAAUCUCUGAAUCUGAUGAAGAUGGGGUUGCUCCAAGGACCUUGGAAAGAAGUCAGAGUCCACUCUUGGGGUCCCUCUAUUGGGAGACUGGAAACUUGAACUUUUGAGCUGUGCAGCAAUGCCUGGAGGCACAGACAAACCCUGCAGAUAACCUGCUGAAGAACUUAGGAAAGAAUGUCGAGGUAUCCAAGACCCCUGACAUCUGGAAGAUCACCAUUUCAGACCAAUUCAGAAGCUAAGAACUCAGAACUAAUUUUUUCCCCUCAACAUUGUACUUUUUACUAUAAGAACUGUCAAUUUUCCUCUUUUCUUGAGAACACUCUGGGUAUUACAUGGUAGUGUUUCUUGUUUUCAAACUCUAAGACCCUUGAAUAAAACUUUGCCACUUUUAAUUUUA